RNAcentral lists this ribosomal RNA (369 nucleotides) under uncultured bacterium. RNAcentral describes it as "bacterial SSU rRNA". It matches the Rfam family "Bacterial small subunit ribosomal RNA", at positions 527 to 896 of the family's 1533-position model. The record is from RNAcentral.
GGAGAGUGCAAACGUUGUUCGGAUUCACUGGGCGUAAAGGGCACGUAGGCGGCUCGGCAAAUCGGUCGUGGAAUCCCGACGCUUACCGUCGGAACGGCGGCCGAAAAUACCGGGCUCGAGGGCGUGAGGGGUCACUGGAACUCCUGGUGAAGCGGUGAAAUGCGUAGAUAUCAGGAGGAACGCCGGAGGCGAAAGCGAGUGACUGGCGCGUUCCUGACGCUGAGGUGCGAAAGCUAGGGGAGCAAACAGGAUUAGAUACCCUGGUAGUCCUAGCCGUAAACGAUGGACACUGAGUGGAGGAGGGCUUGCCUUUCUCUGCUGCAGCUAACGCGUUAAGUGUCCCGCAGGGGGAGUACGGCCGCAAGGUUA